GGGCACUGCCGAGGCCCAUGGGCGGGAAGCCGGGCGGCGGGCGGGACGUGGCCUCGGUCCCGGCCCUGCCCCGCCCCGCCGCCACUGAGACUCCCAGCGCCACCAACGUCGGAGUUGCAGUUUCUUUAGCUGUCAUAUGCAGACAAGUACUACCCACCUCGCCUUUGGAGUGAGCAGCAUCCCUGUGCCCAUCCUGCUGUGAUUCAGGAGUCUCGCAGAAGACAUCAGAAUGCCUUUCUCUGAGUCACAGUCUGUAUCUUCUAGAAAAGGCUGUCCAUCUUCACCCCAAGCCCACUGGCUCCUGAGAUACGACAUCCAGACCCAGUGCAGCUGGACCUGGCCCAGGAAGAUCAUGCGGUUUCUGGGAAGCACUGGAGAAGGAAAAGGCUGAAGAAAGGAAGACCGGAAAAGAAAUACAAGUCCUUCCGCCUUGGCAAAGAUGAUAGUACCGUUCCCUUCAGUGUUCCGGUUCUGCUCUAUUGGAUAAGUUCCGGUUUGACUAUGACUACGUGAAAAUGUGGAACCAGACCUUCACCCCACAUUCCAGCUCCAGCUCUACCACAGAGGAAGUGCAAUAUCACCUUAGUUAUUCAACACAUUAUGCUCCUCGUGAUACAACCAGAGUUCACAUCAGCAAUCUUGGCAGCUCUCACCACGCUGCUGACUCACGACUCUCUCAUGUCCCAAUUUCCUGUCCAUUGUUCUUUCCUCUACUUGGCCUGAUUUCUAAAGGCCUCUCUUGGUUGCAUUAAGCGGGAUUCCUGAGGGAUUCCCUUGGCAGUUACCUUGGGGGAGCUCUUAGGUUUGGGGCUGAUCCAUGUCCUCUAAAUGUAGGACUUCAAAGCUCCCAAAGAUAGGCAGGCCCAGUGGGAAGCUGGGAAAUGCUCUCUGACCCCUCUGGGAGGGCUGGCAGUCAGAGGGCCUUUUGGAAAGAGUCAGACCUGAUCCAUAAGUCCCUGGAAAACACCCUGCCCAGGGAGCAAAUGCCACUGUGGCCUUGACUGAGGCUUCAGAAGAGUUUGGGAGCUGCAAUUCAUCCACACACGCAUUCAUUUUCAAGUAGUGGUUUGCAGUUCAGGCUUUGGAGCCACAUAAGCCUGGCUUCAAAGCCACUUUCCAGCUUUGUAGGAAGUCUCUACAUUUUUAAACCUCCAUUUUUUUUUCCUGUAAAACUGGGGUCUUCAUGGUACUUAACUUCAUCGUGAUGUUGAGAGAAUGAAAAGAAAAAGGAUAAAUAAAUGGCUUAGCCUCGUGCCUUGGCACAUA
RNAcentral lists this long non-coding RNA (1266 nucleotides) under Homo sapiens (human). RNAcentral's name for it is "long intergenic non-protein coding RNA 2777". Lineage: Eukaryota; Metazoa; Chordata; Mammalia; Primates; Hominidae. The record is from RNAcentral.